RNAcentral lists this non-coding RNA (24 nucleotides) under Arabidopsis thaliana (thale cress). Lineage: Eukaryota; Viridiplantae; Streptophyta; Magnoliopsida; Brassicales; Brassicaceae. The record is from RNAcentral.
GAACUAGAUUUUAACCCGCGGUAC